UUGUUUGCAGAUGUAGUAUCAUCAAGAUUCACAUAUUGUAAAGGCAUGGUGAUUAAUGAAGAAAAAUUAACGACCAUGGCUUUUUUGGAGGUGAGAAUCUUGAUGAUGCUGCAUCAGCAAUAAA
Nicotiana sylvestris (wood tobacco) is the source of this 124-nucleotide non-coding RNA. NCBI's taxonomy places the organism in Eukaryota, Viridiplantae, Streptophyta, Magnoliopsida, Solanales, Solanaceae. The record is from Rfam.